AAGAUUUUAAGUUAAUAAAACUAUAAGCCUUCAAAGUUUAAUAUAUAUAUAUAUUAUUUAUAAAUCUUA
This 69-nucleotide transfer RNA is filed under the name Myrmica scabrinodis. RNAcentral describes it as "transfer RNA-Trp". Lineage: Eukaryota; Metazoa; Arthropoda; Insecta; Hymenoptera; Formicidae. The record is from RNAcentral.